Molecule: ribosomal RNA, 496 nt
Filed under: uncultured bacterium
Lineage: Bacteria
Description: partial 16S ribosomal RNA
Rfam family: Bacterial small subunit ribosomal RNA
Source: RNAcentral
AUGCACGCUGGCGGCGUGCCUCAUACAUGCAAGUCGAGCGAACAGACGAGGAGCUUGCUCCUCUGACGUUAGCGGCGGACGGGUAAGUAACACGUGGAUAACCUACCUAUAAGACUGGGAUAACUUCGGGAAACCGGAGCUAAUACCGGAUAAUAUAUUGAACCGCAUGGUUCAAUAGUGAAAGACGGUUUUGCUGUCACUUAUAGAUGGAUCCGCGCCGCAUUAGCUAGUUGGUAAGGUAACGGCUUACCAAGGCAACGAUGCGUAGCCGACCUGAGAGGGUGAUCGGCCACACUGGAACUGAGACACGGUCCAGACUCCUACGGGAGGCAGCAGUAGGGAAUCUUCCGCAAUGGGCGAAAGCCUGACGGAGCAACGCCGCGUGAGUGAUGAAGGUCUUCGGAUCGUAAAACUCUGUUAUUAGGGAAGAACAAAUGUGUAAGUAACUAUGCACGUCUUGACGGUACCUAAUCAGAAAGCCACGGCUAACUACGUG